This 115-nucleotide ribosomal RNA is filed under the name Danio rerio (zebrafish). The record is from RNAcentral. Lineage: Eukaryota; Metazoa; Chordata; Actinopteri; Cypriniformes; Danionidae.
GCCGGCAGCUAACUUUCUGCAACUCUCACAUGGUCGCCCACUGAAGCUAAGCAGGGCUGCGCCCGGUCAGUACCUGGAUGGGAGACCACAUGGGAAAGCUAGUUUGCUGCCGGAA